GUUAAUUAAUAUUGCAUUAGUUAUAUAACUUUGCUAUACAGUAAUUGUUCUACCAAAGACGAAUCAUUUGUUUUAGAUUUUUCGAGUUAGCAUUGUCGUAGAGAGAAGAAAAAAAAAAAAAAAAAAGUGUAUUCGUAAAAAUUUUGGUCACGAGUCCCCGUUUGCCACGUAUUCAGAUGUGUUAGAAUAUUUUGAAAUGCGACACUAACUUCCGAAAUUCCGAAACACAUAAUUUUGUUUUGAAGCAACAAUGGCGCACAUGUUAACAAUCGGUACAAAAACCAAUGCGAUCGAUUCCGAUUAGUCACAGUUGUCACGUGUUCCUACUGUUCAAAGUACGAAUUGCAGUUUCAGUUGUGUGUGUGUGUGUAUGUGCGCGCAAAAUUAAAGUUCUUAAAUCCCCUAACAAAAUGGAAAGAAUCGAAUGGAAAUUAAUAACCAGUGGUUAUAUUUCCGAGAAAUGAAUAGGUCAAUAGUUUAAAAUUGUUCUCGGAAUUUAAAUGAUUUUAUGGCAAUUCUUUGUCCACGUUUCCCGGAAUUGUUUACUGUUUAGUCACAAAACAAAACAAGAUUACACACACACGCUGAAUAUUGUGACUUUUCAAAAUGUAUUUUUCAACUUGGUUCCUACUACAAAUCGCCCGGGGAUAAAGUUCCUCCUUCAAUGCUCAGAGGGAAUGAACUUGUUCUAUAGGUCUAGUCGAUUAUGUGAUUAGGUAUACGAGAACUUAAAAAAAAAAAUGGAAUUGUUUUAGGUUACAGUGAAAUGGGUAGAUCGAGAUCGUUUCUGAUAUUAGAAAAACAAUCGUCGGUGUGAUAGGCGAAAUAUUGUUUAGCGGUUUCCGUUUGUCAUCCUCAUCCGCCGUUUCAGUGCGAACUUCCCCACCUAUACCGUCGAGUGGUACGGUCUAUCCUCGUGGCACAUCUCACUUCUUAGUCAGAGGAAGGGACAAGGGUUGAACGAGUUUUAUCUACUUUAGGGAAACGUUCGGAUCGAAAGAGGAUAUCGUUUCAAGGUGAAAAUAUGACUAAGGUGAGUAACCGAUACGUAAAAAUUAAGUGGUCAUACCGGUAUAUACGUUAAAGAAACCUGUUGCUCGUAACGCACGCGAUUUUAUAGGAAAUGUAACGUCAUGGCGGUGACUUGUUCCUUUAUCGUGGUCCAAGCAAAAAGUUUUCAUCCAAAAACGAUUAUUCGCAUCUAUAUGGCUUAUUAUAGAUCCUCUUUUUAAGAAUCUUGACUAUUCUAGUUUACGUGUGUUUUGUCGUUUUAACAAUUUAUAGUCGAUUGUUUCGAAGAUAGUGAUCUUCAGACAAAGGGACUUCAGUCUGUCGUCUUCCUAUCGUGAUCACUAACACAUUUCACAGAUUAAAUUUCAGAUUCCUUAUGAUUUAAAUUGACGUUUUAUUAAAUUAAUGGUGCUCGCAGUCAUAAAUACUAAGAAGAAUUUGUUAAAAAACAAUCGCUUUGAUGUACACGUGUUACAACAAAGUAUUAAUUUCUAUCUUUACCUAGUUGUAGCGUGCCAAAAUUUUUAUGCCCUGUUAUUAAGUGAAGUUUAUAACUGAAUUAGCUUUUAAAUAGUUUUAAAAUACUACUUCAUAUAAAUAUAAAAUUACAGUAGCUAAUUAUAAAAAAAAAAUUGUUUAUUUUUGAUGGAAUUCAUUGCCA
RNAcentral lists this long non-coding RNA (1672 nucleotides) under Androctonus crassicauda. Lineage: Eukaryota; Metazoa; Arthropoda; Arachnida; Scorpiones; Buthidae. The record is from RNAcentral.